GUGAGUAGGGAUUGCACACAUCAAUUGUAUUUAAUGUCAGAACUAGCUGGAUAUGUUUUCACGUUUUUCUUUUUUUAUACUUACAUUUUUGUCAUGGUGUCAACAGUAUAAUUUUAUAGGAAAACGUUUAUUAACAUUGUACAGUUAAGUAGGAUAAGUGGCAAAUUGUCACAGUAGGAAAGCAUUGGUAUGGGAAUGAGAAUUCCUGAGGACAGGUAGCAGAUCUGUUGCUAAUGAGCAAGGUCAUGUCCUUUCAUUUCCAAAACUAACAGUCUGCAAAAGCGAAGAAUAAGAAAUGCCAACUCGGCCAGGCAUUGGUGGCGCACACCUUUAAUCCCAGCACUCGGGAGGCAGAGGCAGGAGUUCGAGGCCAGCCUGGUCUCCAAAGCUAGUGCCAGGAUGGGCUCCAAAGCCACACAGAGAAACUCUAUCUCGAAAAACCAAAAAAAAAAAAAAAAAAAAAAGAAAAAAAAGAAAAGAAAAGAAAAGAAAAAAGAAAAAAAAAAGAAAUGACAACACUGGGGCUGGAAUGAUGGCUCAGAGGUUGAGGUUAAGAGCACUGGCUGCUCUUCCAGAGAACCUGAGUUCAAUUCCCAGCACCCACAUGGUUGCUCACAACCAUCUGGUGUGCAAGGAUACAUGCAGGCAGAACACUGUAAACAUAAUAAAUAAAUACAUUUUUUUAAAAAAAAGAAAUCCCAGCAACCAUACAGGAAUAUGAUCAAAUGUGAUGCUGACAUACAGGCCAUGUUAACAUUCUUCUUGACACUGGCUUCUCCGUUAACAGUGAUUUAGAUGAAAAUCUAUGUAAAUGACCAAUGUGAGACAAAUCCUCAGGUAAAUAUUCCAAAUAGAUAAUCUAUUCUCACUCAGCCACAGAUAAACAACUCAACUAAAACUAGACAAUGAGCUUGAACAGGAUCUUCUUUGGAAUAGUCUACAGAUUACAAAUAGUCAAUAGAUAGACGAGAAGAAGAUGCCAAACACCCUCAAUCACCUAGGAGAGGACAUCAAAACUACAAGGAGAUGCUUCCUCUCACCUGUCAGGGAGCUGUUAUCAAGAAGACAAAUGGUAACAAAUAUGCGAAAAGCUGUGGGGGACAGGAGCCCUGUCCACUGUUGACAAGGAUGUACAGUGAUUAUGACAGAUGAGAAGAACCUCAAUGGGGGGCCUCCAAACUAUUGAAACAGAUGCUAUCUCCAUCUCUCAAGUGAUACAGCAAUUAUAAAGGCACACCCUCACUAGGUCUGUGUCUUACUUUGUGUGAGAAAACACUGUGGCUAAAAACACAGAAGGAGGAAGAGGCUUUCUUUCAGCUUUCAGUCCCACAGCACGGUUGUGGUGGCUUGAAUGAAAAUGGCUCCUAUAUCCCCAUGAAGAGUGGAACAAUUAGGAGGGGUGCCCUGUCGGAGUGGUUGCAGUGUUGUUGGAGGAAGCAUGUCAUUGAGGGCGGGCUCUGAGGUCUCAGAAGCUCAAGCCAAGCCUAGAGGUUCACUGUCUGUUCCUGCUGCCUGCAGAUGCAGACAUAGGACUCUCAGCUACCUCUCCAGCACCAUGUCUGCCACCAUAACAAUAAUGGAUUAACCCUCUAACCUGUAAGCCAGCCCCAAUUAAAUGUUUUCCUCAGCCAAGGCAGUGGUGGUGCACGCCUUUAAUCCCAGCACUCAGGAACCAGAGGCAGGUGGAUCUCUGAGUUCAAGGGCAGCCUGGUCUACACAAUGUGUUCCAGGACAGCCAAGGCUACACACCCUGUCUCAAAAAGUCGGAAAAAAAAAAAAACUUUUCCUUUAUAAGAGUUGCCUUGGCUCAUCACUGGAGCAAGUCAAGCAGGGCAGGAACCUGGAGGCAGGAGCUGAUGCAGAGCCACACAGGAACACUGCUUACUGGGUUUCCCCCCAUGCCUUUUCAGCCUGCUUUCUUUCAGCAUCCAGCACCACCAGCCCAGGGGUGGCACUGUCCGGUUAGCUGGGCCCCUCCUACAUCAAUCACCAAUUAAGAAAAUGUACAGAAGGUACUCUGUAGGCUACUAAAAGAAACAUGGACACCAACCCAGUCACAAAACCUUUGACCUACAAUCUGUCCCACCUGAAAAAUAGGGCAAUGGUGCCACAGAACUUGUGGGAGUGGCCAAGCAGCAUCUGAUUUGAUUAAAAGCCCACUCCACAAAAAGGAAUGCAUACCCAACACUGCUUGGGUAACAAGAACCAGAGACUAGAUAGUUCAGAGACCUAGGGGAAAAACAAAACACUACUGGCAAGGGAGAAAAGGAGGGAGGGAAGCAGAGAGGGGAGAGAGAGAGAGAGAGAGAGAGAGAGAGAGAGAGAAGCUUCCUCUGGCAGAAGAUGGGAAGAGAUGCAGAGACCCAUAGUAGAGAAAGAGGCUAAAUUGGAGGUCUCCAUCAAAUCCCUCCCCUCAGAGCUCACAGGGUCCCUUGGAAGGAGAGGCUGGAGGACACCUGGAGAACAAGGCCCUCUGAAUCAGCUAAGCAAAGUACAUAUGAGCUCACAGAGACUGAGGCAGCAGUCACAGGGCCGACAGGGGUCUGCACCAGGUCCUCUGCAUCUGUACCACAGCUGUCAGCUUACUGUUUUUAUGGGACUCCUAACUGUGAGAACGAGUGAUGUCUGACUCCUGUGCCUGCUCUGGGGACUCUUCCUCCUACUGGGCUGCCAUGUCGGACUGCAGUAUCUCAUGUUUUACUUCAUUGUAUUAUUUUGCUUUGCCAUGUUUGGUUGCUAAUCUCUUAGAAGCCUGUUCUUUUCUACCGAGAGACAGAAGGCGAGUGGAUCCAGAGGAAAGAGGAAGUGGGGAGGAAGUCGGAGGAGAAGAGGUAGGGCCAACUGCAAUCAAGGGAUGUUGUAUGAGAAAAGAAUAUAUUUUCAAUAAAAAUAUAGAAAAAGACAAUGUUCUAUACAGACUUGGCCACAUGCCAGUCUCAAGGAGGCAUUUUCUCAGUUGAGUCCCCCUUCCCAAAUGGCUCUAGCUUGUGUCAAGGUGACAUAAAACUAGCCAGCACAGUUUGGCACGUUUGUCUUUGCCGAUAUAUCAUGGCCACCAUCAUAUGCUAGCCUUCCGUAGUAGACUAGAACAUAGGAUCCAUGGAAAUAGACCAAAAUGGAGAAAAAUCCAACAAUUGGGGCUCAUCUCUUUCUUCCAUUUGUUGCACGUGUACACACACACACACACACACACACACACACACACACACUUCUGCCAACUUACCUCAAGAAAACUGGAUCAUUCACAGCUGGGCAGACUGAACAUCUUUCUCCGGGUCAGUUUUCUUCAUUUUCCUAGGAAGAAAGAAUAGAGGGGUUGAAAAGCUGGUUGGGCUCUGGGAUGUGCCCACAGGACACUGUUAUUUUACCUUGGAAGAAGAAAAGGGGAUCAAAUAAAAGCAUCCAAGCCUCACUUUGGGGGAGAGCCGAACAAGAGGGAAGUGAUGGUAGAAAGAAAAGCAUGGGCUCAAGGAAGCCCUCACAGCCCUCGACUGUUCUACAAAUCACAACUACAACAUCACAGUGGCACUGAGACGGGGGGAUGGCUUUGCCAGUUGCAUGCUUAGAGCCACCUCAUCAACAGUGUUAAGGACAAAAUCCUAGAGCCCUCGGGUGUGGAAAGAGAGAAAACUCAGACAGAAAAACAGCAAUGACAAAUACCAAGGAGGAGAUGAGGAACUCAAGACCCCUGCAAAGGUAAGAUUGUGUGGUAAGAUAGCGCGGACAGCCAGAUGUGCCAAGUGUUGAAAAGAGAAGAAGGAAAAGAUGGCUGAGAUAUGCCCAAGAGUUUUGUCAAUAUGUGGCCACCGGUACCACCUGUAAUUCUGUGUUUGCCUCUGAAGCACAUUCCUGAAAGGAAACACGGGUGAAGAGACAUAUUAGCAAAACUAAGACAGAGAAAUCUCUUGCUGGGUAGAAGAGUUGAAUCUGAAAAGUGUGAGCCAUGAAGACAACUAAACAAUGUCCAGAUCACUGCAACAGGAUGGAGAGAUGUGGAGGACACUAGCCUCAAACUUGGCGCAGAGACAAGACAGAGCCAGCCUUGGAAUUCAAUUCUGUAAGCUGGGCCUGCUGUUGAGGAGGGCAGAUGGCAAGAGGAGGACUGGCCAAGGAGGACAAAUGCUGUCACAAUGGGCCAUGAAGUCUUCACCAAGUAGAGAGAGCGUGAAAGAGAACAUGGCCAAUUCUAGGAAAUGAGUCAAGGGCAUCCAAACAGCAUCGGAGAAUUGGAGAUCACUGGGAUCCUGCCAGUGGAGUGUGGCUCACGGACAAGACUCCAGUCCUCAGGCCCCUUCUUUUCUUACUCCUGUAUCCUCUCUUCCCAGAUUUCUCCUCCUAUAUAUUCUCUCUGCCUUCCAGCCCGUUCUCUCUCCUGCUUAGCUAUUGGCCAUUCAGCUCUUUAUUAGACCAAUCAGAUGUUUUAGACAGGUAAAGUAAAUGCAACCUCACGGAGUUAAGCCUCACGGAGUUAAGCAAAUGCAACCUUAACAAAUAUAACCCAUCUUUGCAUCAUUAAACAAUACUCCACAGAACAAGCAAAUGUAACACAUCUUCAGCUAAUAUUCCACACAAGGUAGGUGCCAGGUAAUGACACAUGUCUUUAAAUCCUCUUUAUUCUGUCAGCACCACAUACAAUGACAUACUUUACUAAGUUCUCAUUCAAACAUACACAUGCAUGUAAUGAUAAGUGUUUCUGCCAAGCUGCUCAGGCCCUGCUUCCAUAUGGGCGCUUUCCGCCAGGCCGCUCAAGUUCUACCCGACACCACGUUAAGGUCCCAAAUAACACAGAGAGACUUCUAUUAGGUACAAAUGCUGUUUGGCCAAUGACUAGGAUUUCUCACCUGCUAGCUCAGUCUUAAUUAUCAUAAAUAUAUAUUUUAUAAGACUUAUACAGGACGCCUUCCGGUGGUUCCCUCUCUUGCCGGCAGAUCACAUGGCAACUCCAGAGCAGAGACCAGGAGGAAGAGAGAAGGGGACAACUUCCUUCUUACCCUUGCUUAUAUAUGAGUCUCUCUGUUAUGUCACUUCCUGCCUGGAUCACCACUUUUUUACUACAUUUCCCAGAAUCCUCCUUGACUCCUAGUCCCACCUAACUUGCUGCCUCAUUGGCCAAAUAGUACUUUAUAUAUCAUCCAAUAAGACAAUCAUAUACACAGAAGGACCUCCCCCAUCACAUGCACACACACAGAGUGAGCAGAAAUAAAAUCAUCCCUGUCCAUAGCAGGUCAGGAAUCGGUCUCCUCUUUCUUCUCCAUGCAUCACAAGGGCAGAGGAUGAAAGCUUGGGACAUUCAUCAAUGAGCACACUGGUUCUCCUUCAUAACAUGGCAGAAGACAUCACACAGUGUCAUGUGGUGACAGGGUGGCUUCUGUUCUCUAAUCUAUCAUAACUUUUCCCACUGUGAUUGUCCUGUUCCCUCAAUUACCUUAAUCUAUCAGAAGGGCAGACUUGUGGUGACCUUAAACACUUCCUAAAGGCUCUGUCUCCAGUCUCACCACAGUAACAAAUUUCAGAGGGCUCCUCUGUGUCAGUCUCUCAGUACGUGGGGGCCACAAUGAUAACAAGGGAGAGGACAUCUAAUGAACAUCGAGGACUAAAUAUAAGGGAGAUUGGGAAUAGGAUGUAGAACUCAGAGGGGAAGGACCUGAAGAAAUUCUGCAGCAAACAUCCAUAGCUGAGAGCAGACGACUGGAGAGCAACAUCAGCCAGAAACGACUGCACAGACCUUCCGACCAGCUCUGUGUGUGUGCCUGAGGCCCAGGGCUGGUGAGGUGCCAGGCCAGGAGCACUAGGCAGCUCGCAUGGAGGCAGUUAGACACACCAAUGGACUUAGAAAAACUGUUGGAGUUGACAUUGUGGGCACAGACCAGAUUGACAGGAAAAGAAUAUCACCAGAACCUUCGUGCUCCACCUUGUCCUGUGUCUCAGCUGUGACUUCCAUACAUGGGGAAUGGCGAGGCAGCACCAAAACAUUAAAAGGCUGCUGAGUACACAGGCCCAGAAUGGCUCUCAGCAAACAUCCAAAGCAGAGCAGCCUGUGGGGUUCCCGCUACCUGAAAGCAUCAGGGGCAGUUCUCAAGUUAAAUUGGUUCCCUUUUCUUUCAAUGUCAACCAUCUAAAGACAAGUUUUGAGAAUUUCACAGAACCGAUCCCUGCUCACAGUUCAGCAAGUAAAGCACAUGGUUCCUGCCUGGUCUGUGAUUGAUUGUUGACAGUUCUCCCCACGCUAGCAGCCACCGCUGUGGUGAGCUCAUGGCACCGGCUGUGCCAUGCCCACAAGAGAACAAACCACAGCUCUCCUCCCUCUCUCAGCUCCUAUGCUUUUCCUGAGCCUUCCAUAAAUGUUCAUUAGGGCUGAACAUGCCACCAUGCCUGCUUGAGGAAACUCGUUCAUAUUGCCAGACAGAAGCCUUGGAGAAGCCUGUGAGCCGCCACCCAGAGGGAGCCCCCUGCCCUCCAGGAGGGGCUGUUGACAGUUCAGUCACUGGAUCCACCAUCUUUGAUAAUAAUAAUCAUCUAAGACAAACAACUGAUGAUUGUGUCCCCCAAACCAAGACUGUUCAUCCCUGAACUAGGAGGUGUCAGCUGCCCAAAGAGGAGGCCAGGUUGGCACUGCUCUGCCACAGGAAAAGCCUUAAUGUUUCAAAACAAAAACACUCUGAUAAACUUCAAAGAGAGUAAUGUGGCUAGCCAGUUUGAUGAUUUUUUAUUUUAAUUCAGUAAAAUUUAAAAACUAACUUCCCUGAAUGCUGCUCAUUACAAUACCUUCUGACAUGAUAAAAAACAAACAAACAAACAAAAAAAAAACAUGGAAAAAUGAAUGCAACAGUGUAAGACCUGAAGCAACAUCAUUUUUUUUUUCAAAAUGAAUAAGCUUCAGAGGAACCUUAAGCUUUCAUCUUCAAAAGGGACCAAAAACUGGACUGGAGAGAUGGUUGGACCCUUGAGAGAGCUCAAUGCUCUUUGAGGAGACCUGGUUCAAUUCUCAGCAUCCACAUGGGGCUCACAACCACUUCCAACUCCAGUUCCAGGGGAUCUGAUGCCUCUUCUGGCCUCUGAGGACACUGCACGCACGUGGUACACAGACAUGAAGAUAAAA
RNAcentral lists this long non-coding RNA (7099 nucleotides) under Cricetulus griseus (Chinese hamster). Its description in RNAcentral is "lncRNA (ENSCGRG00015031232.1)". Lineage: Eukaryota; Metazoa; Chordata; Mammalia; Rodentia; Cricetidae. The record is from RNAcentral.